AUGCAGCGAGAGGUCCUUCAGCUGAACGAGUGCGUCCCUCCCUGCUUCCUAAUCCUGCUGCAAAACUGCAAACAAAAGUCGCAGGGAGGAAUGCGCCAGCCUUUGGCCAGAAAGAGAAAGGGCAUGGAGUGCUUUGAAAGGAGAGUGGAAGCCCGGCAGCCUGUGCAGCGAUCACUAGCGUGUCUCUAUCCAGACAAAGCAAGGACAAGCCGCAUUCUUAAAAAUUAUCUGCCUUACAGAUCGCGUUCCCAGGCAUGUUCCCUGCGUUUUAUUGCCGCGGAUAACCCCUUAAUGGUUGUUGCCACUUUUGCUGCUUUUCACAUCAGAGAAGUCAAGUAA
RNAcentral lists this long non-coding RNA (339 nucleotides) under Anser cygnoides (Swan goose). Its description in RNAcentral is "lncRNA (ENSACDG00005008410.1)". The record is from RNAcentral. Lineage: Eukaryota; Metazoa; Chordata; Aves; Anseriformes; Anatidae.